UUUAAACACAUUUUUAAUUGUUAUUAAUGUAAUAUGUGCAUGGGAAUGGCUAUUAGAAAUACCAUUAGAAAUGUUAACGAAGAUGAAAUAUACAUUUUUCGAAUUAUUUUAUAAUACUACUAUCAAAAUAAUAAAAUUUAUUAAAAAACAAAAUAGUUUCUAUUUUUUAUUAGAAAUUUUAAAAUUUGUAUAUAUACAAUUUGUUAGUCUACCCUUUAACCCAAUACAUAUAUAUACUUCAUUUAAAUUUCACAAUUUCCAUGACUUUCUAAUUACGGACAAUUAUAAUAAUAUACUAAAAGAUGUACAAGAUGAUUUUUUUAGUACUGACAAUUUGGACUUAAAUUCUGUAACCCCUGUAAAAUAUGUUAACAAUAGUAUUACAGAGGAAAUAUAUAAACGUGAAAGUGUAGCAAAGUUUGAAAAAAAAAUAAAGUAUAGUGAUAUCGAUGGAGACCUAAGUGAGAAUGUUAAUGACUACAAUUACAAACAUAGCGACGAACUUAAUAUACCAAAUUUUAAUAAAAGGAAAAAAAGAAUAAGCAUGGGCGGACUAAUACCUGUAUUUUUAAAUAAUGAAAACAUUAAAAAAAGAAAAACAAACUUUGAUUAUAUGUCUGUAACUAGUAUAGAAGAAAAUGAACAGAAUAUGAUACCCACUAAUGUAAGUACAAAAAGAAAAAGUUUAUUAUUUUAUGAUAAUAACAUGUUAAAUAGUAUAAACAAAAACUUAAAUGUUGAAUAUGAUAAACAGGUAGAUGAAAUGACAAAUUGUACUCCUAAUUUAUGUGAACCCAAAAGGAAAACUGUUAAAACAUAUAAUCAUAAUGACGAUGAUAGUUAUGAAAUUUACAAUGAAGACGAAGUUAUGAAUAAAACGCCGAAACCUAAUUACAACAAAAGUGACAAUAUAACAUCCAGAUAUAACUACAACAACGUAACAAAUCCGAACGAACAAUUUCGAAAAACUUAUUUAAGUAAUUAUUAUAUUCCACAUCUUGAUCUAUUAUUUAUCAUUAUAGACUUGGAAGUGAUGUAUCAUUUCAAAAAAAAAAAUUAUAAAAAAAUUAUAAUAACAGUUAAUAACGUAUUAAAUAAUAUCAUGAAAAAUUGUGAUUAUAACACAAAAGAAUACUUACGUUCUUCUAUUUCGUAUAUAUACAAUUCAUAUCAACAGGCAAAUCUAUGUAGUAGUAAAAUAAAUGUACAAAGUUGUACAAUUAUUAGACAUAUAUUUAAUUUGUACAUAAAAUCUAAAGUGUUAUACCUAAACAAAAAAAUAAAAAAUAAAAUAUCAUACUAUAAAAAAAAAUAUACCGACAAAGAAUAUUCGUAUGAUUCUAGUUCUUUAAAAAUUAUUCAUAAAGAAAUUUACAAUACUUUUUUUGAUACUGACGGAUGGAAAUACAUUUUUUAUUUUGAUUAUGCUGUGCGGGACAGUAGCAGUUGUGGCAGCAGAUGUGGUAGCAGUUGUAGUAGAAGUGGUAGCAGUUGUAGUAGAAGUGGUAGCAGUUGUAGUAGAAGUGGUAGCAAUCGUAACAGAAGUGGCAGCAAUCGUAGCAGAAGUGGUAGCAAUCGUAACAGAAGUGGCAGCAAUCGUAUCAGAAGUGGCAGCAAUCGUAACAGAAGUGACAGCACUUGUAGCAGAAGUGACAGCGACACCGAAAAGAGGAAAAACUCCGAAACAAAAAUAAAAAUAAUUAACAGUUUACUGAUUACCCACAUUAACACAUUACUUUUUUUAUCAUUUUAUGAAUAUUUAUCAAGAUAUGUUACGAAAAAUUUUAUUUAUUUCUUUAAGUUUUUAUUCUUUUUUUUUAACAAACUGUGUGUUGAUAUAUUGAAAUUAGUAAAGAAAUAUAACAAUCUUGAAUUUUAUAACAUUCUUCACACUGCAAGUAAUGUUUCUAAUUUUAAUCAGUUAGAAAAAGGCAUAAUUGAGAAAUUAAAACUGUUUAUUAAUAACAAUGACACAACAAGUGUUCCGUUAUGUGAUCAAAAUGCAAAUCAAUGCACUCCACAUAAGUCAAACAUAAUAAAAAACAAAACGCAUACAAAAACAAUAACAAAAAUUAACCUAGAUAUCGACGAAUUGUUAAUUACGUAUAUUCAAAUAAACUUUGUUUUUUGUAAAUGCUGUUUUUUUUUUAUUUUUUUUAAAAAUGUAUGUACACAAAAAUAUGAAAAUAUUUUAAGAGAGAAUUUUAAUACAUUAUUUUAUGAAAAAUUUAAAAAAAAUAGAAAUAUUAUUGAUUCUUUUGAAUUUAAAGUUGGUGAUACGUUAAGUACGCAGGUUGCUCAUGGAAAAGAUGAGGACCAUGUAGGUCGCAGUAUAGGUCGCGGUGUAGGUCGCGGUGUAGGUCGCGAUGUAGGUUGCAAUGUACGUCACGAUGUAGGUCGCGAUGUGAGUCGAAGUACAAGCUCAAGUACAGGGUAUGGCAUAAGCCCAAAUGUAACAAAAAAAGUAAACGUUGCGGAAGAAUUAAAAAGAAUAGAGGACAAACAAUCUGAUAAAUAUAGUAAUGAUUCUGAUGUCAGUUCAAAAGAAUCUGAAUCUAGUUUUACCCUAAUUGAAUACACAAAUUUUACAAAUGAUUUUGAUUCUGCUUUUUUAGAGUUUGUUAUAAAAUUAUUUGAUACUAUGAAUAUAGAAAAUUAUUAUAAACAGGUUCUUAGAAAUUGCUACUAUAUAAUAAAAAUAGAAACUUUAUAUAGUUAUAUUUAUAAUAAUGUAGAAAUGCUAAAUCGGUUUUCUUUUAUGUAUAAUUUAUACUUGUUAUAUAAGUUAUACUAUCAUUGUUUUUUAUGGUCUAAAAGGGAAUGUAUUGGUAAGAAAGGGAAAGGGAAAGGGAAAGCAGAUGAUAAAGCAGAUGAUAAAGCAGAUGGUAAAGCAGAUGGUAAAGCAGAUGGUAAAGCAGAUGGUAAAGCAGAUGGUAAAGCAGAUGGUAAAGCAGAUGAUAAAGCAGAUGGUAAAGCAGAUGGGGAUGGGGAAUUAUGCACAGGAGGGUAUCAGGCCAACAUACCGUUACACAAGUUAUCAGGUACCAUUAACACAAAUAUAGACAUAUUUUCCAUUUUUAACAUGAACAACAUUUUAAAAGAAAGAUUUUGCAACAAAUAUGUACAAUUUAUUACCAAUAAUAUAGAACACAAUCCACAAUCUGAACGGACAAGUGUCAAUCGACAAGAUUUAACAGGAGUCAAUCAUGAUACUUGGGAUGAUGGUGUUGUAUUUUUCAACAAAAGCAAUUUUGAAUGUAAUAAUACUAUCGGAAGUAGCACCGACAGUAGUGAAAACGACAUAAACGUGAAGAAAAAUAACAAAAUGGCGAGUGGAGACGGAUAUUUCAUAUGUAAUAUAUAUAACUUCCAAUUAAAACUGUUCCAUCCUUUAACUAUGGAAAACAACAACUUAGAUAAUUUAAAUUAUAAUCAAAGCGCUCAAGAUAUUUAUAACAGUUUAUUAAUUAUUAAUAAAAAUUACCUAAUAAAACUAAAAAAAAAAUAUAUAAAAAUUAAUAAAUAUAUACAUAAAUAUAUGUUAAAUCUAUACUAUAUUAUUAUGUACUUUUAUUUAGACAAAAAAUAUAAUAUAAAAAAAAAAAAUUUAUCUUUUUAUAAUAUUCUAUAUACUUUUCAAUUACAUUUUUUUAUAUCUGAUAUGAAAGGUAAUGAAGCGGUUGUACCUAAUACAGAAUGUGAAAACUUCAGUCACUUUGACCAUACGAAACAUCUCGCACAAAAGGGAUAUCCAUCUACAUUUAACCUUACCCAUUCCGACUCAUACGUUUGUAGUAAAAAUUACCAAACCAAAGCAAAUUUUAAUACUUAUAGUGCACAAAACGCGUGCUCUAACAUUCCCUACAAAUUAUAUACCGAGGAAGAGCUAAAAAAUAAUAUAUAUUUAAUUUUUGAAAUAUUUAAUAAUAUGUAUGACAUGUGUCAUGGUAAUAUUUUUAAUGAUGUUAAUUUUGGUAAUAAUUUAGUUAUACAGAUUAAUAUAAAAUUAAUUGUUUUUUUAUGUGAAAUAUACAAAGUAGCAUAUAUGUAUAAAUUAUACCACUAUUGUGUCGACAUCUUAAUGUUAUGCAUUGUUUUUACUUCCAGGUUUUGGUUAGUAUAUAUAUUUAGUGAAAAACAUGAUACUAUUUAUGAUGCUAGUAGCAUUGGUAGCAGUAGCAACGACAAAAGAUACACAUACAAAAAAAAAGUAAAUAAAAAUAUUGAAAACCGUUCAGAUAAAUCAAAAAGGUACACAAGAAAAUACAUCUUAGAUAUGGUUUAUACAAAAAUAACAACAGGUAUUGAUGAUAAUGUGACAAACUCCACCGCCAACACAAACCCCAUUACUAACCCAUGUGAUACUAACACCGCCAACCAAAACGAGAAGAAACAAAUUUAUAACGAAUUACAUAACUACAUGCAAACACUAAUAACUUGUAUAUCCAU
This 4449-nucleotide long non-coding RNA is filed under the name Piliocolobus tephrosceles (Ugandan red Colobus). RNAcentral describes it as "lncRNA (ENSPTEG00000008728.1)". Lineage: Eukaryota; Metazoa; Chordata; Mammalia; Primates; Cercopithecidae. The record is from RNAcentral.